CGGUACUUGUAGAUGAAUCUCUUUGUUGUAGCAAGAUGCCAAAUAAAAAAGAAAUUGAAAAAAAAUAAGAUCAAUGCAAAUACAGGAUUUACUUGAAAAAUCUUCUUAAUCAAAGAAAAAAAUCACGGACAAAAAUAGAUAGAGAUUUUUCACUAUCUUCAAUAUUGGAGAUUAUAAAAUACAAGUUAAAAAAAUCUUAAAAAAGCAUUUGUACUUCAAAGACAACAUAUCUCAUGUUUCGCUCAAC
This 247-nucleotide long non-coding RNA is filed under the name Elaeis guineensis (African oil palm). Its description in RNAcentral is "long non-coding RNA (EGUI_LNC026078)". The record is from RNAcentral. Lineage: Eukaryota; Viridiplantae; Streptophyta; Magnoliopsida; Arecales; Arecaceae.